RNAcentral lists this long non-coding RNA (1140 nucleotides) under Sinocyclocheilus grahami. RNAcentral describes it as "lncRNA (ENSSGRG00000010029.1)". The record is from RNAcentral. Lineage: Eukaryota; Metazoa; Chordata; Actinopteri; Cypriniformes; Cyprinidae.
CGUCUUGUCUGUCUCACCUCACUCUUCUUGUCAGUCAGCUCGACUCGCUCUCCUCACUGGAGAAAUGAAAUCUGAUCUGUGAUGUGACUGUCGUUCGGCACGCUGCAUUGAGCAGCCGCGUUCAGUUUUUAAUUGUAGUGUCUGUUCUUUUACUGAACUAAAUGAUUAUUAUUACUAUAAAAAAUCUAAACAACGGUGGGGGUCGGUGACGCGGUGGGCAAGUGACGUAACCGGUGUUGCGGCUUAACACCGGUAUCACCGUCAGCAUCGCGGCAAGCCUAAAACUCACUUAAUUUUGAUCCUUUAAACAAGACCUCUUAUUUGAUGUAAUUUUAGCAAUUUACACUUAUAGACCAUAUUUAUGUAUUAUGUUCCAUUUUUUUUUUUGUCCUUAAAUUUUCUUGGUCUUCAGAAGUCUUCCAUUUAUCUUCAUCAAUCCUGCAGAAAGCCUGUUAUUCUUUCAUUUAGAUAUUUGAUCUGUAAUAAUGCUGGAUUGUCACAGCUUUCUGAAUAUUUCGUUUGAUAUGAGUCUCACCUGUCCGCUGCAGUGCGUGUGUUGAGGAUGAGGAUGAUGCUGUUGAAGGAUGGCUGAAGUGCGAGGCUGACGGGUUGACGCUGUCGCUGCUGUCUCCGCUCUCAGUGCUGGAUAUCUCCUCCUCCUCAGACUCCCUCAGUGAGGAGCAGGGUGACGCCCCCUCCACCUCCUCAAACUUCCUCUUCAGAAUUCCACUCAUGGCUGCCGUCAGGCUGCACCAGACAAAGAGUGCAACUAGAAUUGAGCCAGCGAUGAGAAGAGUGAAAAAAGAGACAUGCACACACAUACACACAACAGAGAAACCAGAGUCUGGAGAGAGAGAGAGAGCGAGAGAGAGGGGGGAAGGCUGGCUGGCAGCCUCAUUACUGAAGGAGGGAAUGUUUUGUUUCACACUGCAAGCCUCACAGAGCCAUCGGAUGACUACUGAAGCCCAGCAGAGCUGCUGAUCAACUGAGAUUUUGGAGGUAGGGGAACAAUAAAAUCUGAUGGUGAUUACAUGAUGCCCCAUCCUCAAAAAAAUACAAAUAAAUAAAAGUGAAUAAAUAAAUAAUAUAUAAUAAACAUAACAGCUGCAUAUUGUUAAAAUUAGAAACACCGAAACUGAC